Molecule: non-coding RNA, 1458 nt
Organism: Sesamum indicum (sesame)
Lineage: Eukaryota; Viridiplantae; Streptophyta; Magnoliopsida; Lamiales; Pedaliaceae
Source: RefSeq, a predicted model, not a curated record
AUGAAUAGUGUGGGGGGGUGGGGAAGUCAGUGUUUAAAUUUUAUUAUAAAGAUCCCACUCUACCAUUAGAAUGGGGCAUAAGACAAAUUAAAGAAGAAUGCCAAAUGCUGAACCUAGAUUUUGUUUGAGACACAUGUAUGAAAAUUUCAAAGUGAAAUUUAAAUCUGUUGAACUGAAAGAAUACUUUCGGAAGGCAGCCUCAACUGCAAACAGAAGGGAAUUUGAGGGUUUUAUGAAAAAAAUUGAAAAACUUGAUCCAAAAAUAAAAGUUGAUGUGGAAACAGUUUCUGAAUGGCUAAGAAAGAUAAAUCCACAACAUUGGGGAAGAUCACAUUUUCCAGUUCAUAGCAAAUAUGAUAUUUUGGUGAAUAACUUAUGUGAAAGCUUUAAUAAUUAUAUACUUGAGGCAAGGGCCAAAUCAAUUAUAUGUAUGUUUGAGUGGACUAGAACAAAAUUGAUGUCUAGGUUGCAACUGAAAAGAGGGGGAAUGGAGAAGCAUGGAGGAUCAAUUUGCCCUAACAUCCUAAAGAAGAUAAACAAGCAACAACAUGCUGCAAGAAAUUGUUUCAUUAGGUGGUAUGGUGGGGGAGAAUAUGAAAUUGACCACUUCUUGAACAAGUAUGUGGUUGACUUAGAGAAGAAACAUGCAGUUGUGGCAUGUUUCAAUUGACAGGAUACCCAUGUUGUCAUACUUGUUCAGCAAUUGUUUCAGAAAGGGCUAGAGUAGAUAUUUAUGUGGAUGAUUUUUAUAAGCAGACAGUUUACCUCAAAGUGUAUAAUGACAUGAUACAUGUUGUCCCUGGGUCACAAGAUUAUAUAAAAACCAGUUUUCAGCCCUUUAAACCUCCUAAGAUUAAAAAGAAAAGGGGUAGACCUAAGAAACUGAGGAGAAAGGGCCCUAAUGAGCUGCAGUCAAAUACAUCAACAUGAAAAGGAUUGACGCAUACUUGCAGUAAAUGCCUUCAAAUAGGCCACAAUAAGGACAGCUGCAAGAAUGAAAUACAUCCAGAGUCGAAGUUUUUCAAGGCAAAUGCUGCUGUUUCAGAAGAAAUCCCACAUGGAUCUCAAACCCCCCCCCCCCUUUAAGCCAGGAGCAACCAAGUAAAAAGGCUACAUCAAAAGGCAAGAGAAAGAGCAGCAAUGUAGUACAACCACAUGCACUUGCACCAGACUUUGCAACCCAGCAGCAGGUAGGCUAUCAAGGCCCUAGAAAUGCAUCCUUGUUGGGGAAUGAUAUUCCAACAGCUUCUUCAAUACCUGCAACUAGGAGAUACAACAAGAGGCCAACUAUUUCAAAAGUUUUGGACAAGAUGAAAGAGAGACAAAAGAGAAGACAACAAGAGUAAUUUAGACUGCAUUUUCAUCUUGUAAAUGACCUUUUUUUGGGUAAAUGGCCUGUUCCUUUUGUAAAUUUGAAAAAAAUUGUCUAUAAUAUGGCACUCAGUUCCUUUUGUAAUG